UUUGGCCCUCAAGGUUUUGGAAUUUGAGCCUUUGAAAAACAGGGUUACUGGACUCGAGUAAAUGAAGUGUCUGGAUGUCAGUGAUGAUUCAUAAAAGCAAUUAAAAAAAGGAAAGUGCUUUUCCUCUGAGCGUAAUGUCUUGGUUUGAAGAUGCCCUAAAAGUGAGCGUGUGCUGCUCUGUUUCCAGCAUAACAUUUCUUAUCCUGUGGUUCUGCUGAUACAAACCAAAUUUUUUUGGUCACAGAACAGUCGGGGUUGGAAGGGACCUCUGGGGUCACCCAGUCCAACCCCUCUGCCCAGGCAGGGUCACCUGGAGCAGGUGACACAGGAACGUGUCCAGGUGGGGUUGGGAUGUCUCUAGAGAGGGAGACUCCAUGCCCUCCCUGGGCAGCUGUUCCAGUGCUCUGCCACCCUAAAUUCUUCCCCAUGUUGGGCUGGAACUUGUUAUGUUUUCCUUUAUGGCCGUUGCUCCUCGUCCUGUUGGUGGGAACCCCCAAAAAGAGUCUGGCACCAUCCUCUUGGCACCCACCUUGGAGAAAUUCAUAUGUAUUUACAGCUGAAUCUUUCUUAUUUGGUUUCUAUUUCAAUAUAGUUCACAUUUCUUCCUUCUUAAAUUUGAGGAAAAACUCAACCAAGGAUGUAAUAUUUUCCAUGGGAGAAAUGUGGUUGUUGCAACAUAAAUGUUGGAGGCGACAGAGGAUUGAAAUUCAUCAAAUAGGAUUUUUUUUUUUCCCCACAGUGCUGCUCUCUGGCAUUUCUGAGCUGCCCCAAACAGGAGACACCUCAUUUGUACAGCUUUAAACUGAUUUUCAGGGAGCAAGAGUGAACUCUGUUAAAACAGGAUGAAGGUUAUGGUUGUAUACAAAGAUCCAUCAGCGUGGCCACGUUACCUAAGCAGGAAGCAGACCCCGAGCCAUGCCCUAGAAGCUUCCUACAUGGCUUUUCAAGCCAUCCCAACCAACCUGUUACCUGGUAGGGAUGGUUAUUAGGCUGUUUUAGAGCAGGCACUUCCAGUCUUGCUUCCUUCUCCAAGUGGAUGCCUCGUGCUUCUCUUGAACAUAUUGAAGUCAGGGCUUCCCUUUGCUUUGCCCUCACAUCCUGGUCAUCCCUGGGAUACAUGCUAAGGGAAGCAAAAUAGUUUACUGAUUUAUCAUGGAUCAUUAGGUGGAGUAACUAUUCUUAAAACAUCACCAGUAUGGAUACAAUAAUUAGAGAUGUGCUUUUGUUAACACUGCCAGCCUCUACCCUCUUGUACAGUACCCUUGGGUACUAAAUAAUUACCCACUUUGUGUGGUUAUCUAGCUCACUAAUUACCCACAAAAAUUGGGGUCAGGUGUUAACUGCUUGAAAUAAGUAUCCUCCGAAGGCUUGGUAAAAUUGUAUAAAGAAAUUAUGUGUUUGCUACAAAACUUUAAAAAAAAAAUCAAACAUUUUUUGGGGGGAAGGAAGAUAAGGGAAGUGGAAGGAGACAAUGGAUGCAGAAUGUUCUGUGUGAUGGCAAAAUCUUGCUGUGAUGGUGAGGGAAUCUAAGGGGAGUGAAAGGAUGGUUGGCAGAUAGAGUCUCUAAUCCAGUCUACUUUUCCCAAAGAUUAGAUCCUUCAGUACACAGGGUUGGAUUCUUCCCCUAUCUAGGCUGAUGCCAAUCAGGAUUAUGCUGGUAUAAAUAAGAAAAUUUGUAUCUGUGGAUUCCCAGACUGACUUUGCUGCAUAAUCCCACCUCUUCCAUCACCCAGGGACUUCUGCAUUGCACCCAAUAAUUUAAUUAUGUAUUGUAUACUUAUUUCCAUGCGUUUAUUUUAGCUGUGUGCAUGCAGAAUUUCACUCUGAGGCUGCUGCUCAUAAAAUGCAGUUUGCUUGGAGCAAUAAUUUGAUUCCUGUGCUCAGGGAGUUACCCCAGUGAGUCAAAGAUUUCUAGAUAGCCCCACCCUCCCCAACUUCCCGAACACUUACACUGCAGCCACUUUCCCUUUGCCAGACCCACACAAGAUGUCUAACUAGCCAAAAUCCCAAGAGGCAAUCCCAGUCUCCUGCCUCCCCUGUUUCAGCCCCAGAAAACUAGGAAAUAAAGCCACAGAAGCCCUAAAGCCCUUGAAACACCCGGCACGUGUAGCAGAGGGAUGUUUAAUAGCCCGUCUUCCUAACCUGGUUUCUUGCAUAGGUGCUCUCUGUCUUCAGUACAAAGGAAACAGAUUCCAGUGGGAGCUGAGAAGGUGUUCCUAAAAAUCCUUUGGACCCAUCCCAGGGUCUUUGGAUGCCCGGAUACCUUUAAUUCCUCGGCGUCUCUGCAGUGCACAGCGCAACAAAGAAACUGCCUUUAUUUAUUGCUGUAUUUUGUGGUAGGUGCUUCGUAGCCAGAAGCACCUUCUGUUCCUACACGAGCACCUUUUGGAGCCUGUGUGGAUUCAGGGAUUAGAAAUCACCAGCCUGAACGCUUGGGCAAACGGGGGGGGGUGUCUCAGGAAGGCCCCCAGGACGAGGUGUGUGCUCGCCCUCGGGGGUACCUGCGCCCCGCAUUGUGUGGAGCAUCCCUGGAAAACGCAGGGAUCAGCCUCCUAAGGCACAAUGCAGAUUUAGUCGUCAUCUUUGUCUCUCCCCCCCCCCCCCCCCCCCCCCCCGCUCUGCUCCCCGCUGAUGUUAACUGUCUGUAUUAUUAUUUAUUGUUAUCAGGGGAUUUGGUUUGAUCAAUGAAGUGUAUAUGCGUCUGACGGACAUUGGGAGAGGAAAUGCUUGGAGAAUGAGUAACAUGUCUGCAGUGGAGGGUGUGUGUGAGGGAGAGGGAGAGCGAGCAUCGCUACUAGAAACAUUGACUGAUGAGUUCAUUUUAAAAUCCAAGGGCAUAUAGCUGGUAAAUUAGCACAUAUUGCAAAUAUAGUCUGGUGCGAGAGGCAGCAGUGCUGCCAUUGAGCGGAGGGGUGGGUGUGGAGGGGAAGGGGGGGGUCGAGGAGAGGAGGUUGUCAGCUCUAAAGUCAUCACGGGCAUGAGCCAGGCAGUCUGCCCUGCCUCACUGCAGACGCGGGGCGUGCGAUUUCCACGGGCGGCUGCGGCGCGGCGGAGGGGGGGAGCGGGGGGCACCCGGGAGAGCAGCAGCGCUGGAUUUUAUUGUUUUAAAAUCCAGAGCCAGCCGGAGGGAUGCAAGGCGAAGGGCUGCAGCCCCUCCGCUUCCCCCUCUCCUUCCCCCCUCCGGCCCCCCGGCACCCCCUUAGGAAGGCGGCGUGGGGCGGGAGCGGCUGCCCGGAGGGUCCCGGGGCUGGUACCCGGCGGGGAUGCGGCGGGGACGGGGAUGCGCCGGCGGGUUUCUCCCGGGAGCUUAAGAGAUUAUUGGGGAGGGGUGACCGGGAAUGGUGUGUGCGAGCGUGUGAGUGUGUGUGUGUGUGUGUGCGGGGCUGGCGGCGGGGGGAGCCGAGUCCUUAUUCUGUUAAAGAUUUAAGUAGGCAUGCAAGGAAUCUCUAGGAUAGUUGGCAAAGGGCGAGGGUGGGGAGGGGGGGGGAAGGAUCCAAAAGAGUCUGUAACCAGACACUGAAGCUUUCCAGGAGUGAGAGUGUGUGAGAGAGACGGAGACAGAGCGAGAGGAAGAGAGGGGGCAGUGUGGUCUAGUACAUUUUCAUCUGGUCGUUGAUUUGAGCCUGAUGCUUGCUGUCCCUCAACAGCCUCCCUUGCCUGGAUUUUUUCUUUCCCUCUCCUCUCCUUUCCCUUCUACUUCAUCGAAGCCUAGGGGAGCCAGGAAAGAUUAAAUGUGCUUUCGAAAAGGCAGCCACUUCAUGCAGCUAUGUCUGCUCCCCCCCACUCCCAGCCACCCCCCCCCACUCCCCCUUUUUGAAAUAAAAAAAAAAAAAGGAGAGGGGGAGACAGAGAGGGGGAGAAGGAAGGAGGAGGAAGAGGAGGACUAUAGUUUAAUGAUGUCGGGACUGGCUGAUGCAGAAGGAGAAAAAAAUAGAAAAAAAAACUAAAAAAAAAAAAUAGAAAAAAAAAAAGAAAAUAUUUGAGCUCCUGGACGAGGAAGGACUUUGGUGAAUGGGCUCAGACUCCUGAGUUAUGGUGCAUUUGACUCCCUGGACUACCCAGACAAGUAAAGCUGUGGGGUAAGAUGUUCCAGUUUGUGAUUUUUUUAUUUGUUGUUGUACAUGGAAGGGAGAACUUACAGGCUCACCCUGAAACUGCAGUGUCCCAGCAUGUGGAGAGAGACUUCUCCCUGCUCAGAAAGAGGUGGGGACUCAUUUAUUCGAGGUAGAUGGAAGGAAUAGGAGGGGAAAAGGCACCUAAAAGUGAUUUGCCCAAGGAAGCACAUUAUUAGCAAAGCAGUAAUUCAUGUCUCCUGGUUUACAGGGCUCUACUUAAUGGCAUAUAUUCUUCCUCUGUGGAACUUUCCUGCUUGGGCAUAAGAUUAAUAACUUAAUUAUGGCUCCUGAUAUGCCAGGAGACCCUCUCAUGUACCUCAGAUGGAACCAUGAAAGAAUAUGUUAUUUCUGUGAGCAAGUCAUGCCUUUUUGCCCUUCUGUUUUUCUGUCAUUCACCCAAUGCUCUGGCAACUGUAUUUGAUAUGAGAGGGCAUUAAAACCAAUUAAAAGAUGAAAGAUGAGCCUCUGAUUUACAUGGUGACUGUGGAAGGCUGAGACUGCUGCAAUUGUUUUCAUUUAACAGCUCUUCCCACACUGCAGUCAGUGAAUCUCUAAUCUCCUGGACUGAAAUGUCUGACACUUUCAGAAUCAUUUAUUUGCUGGCUCUUGUGUCUGUGUGGUGCUCCCAGAGCUCCACCCACAGCGGUGUCUCAGCAGUGGGCUGAUGGUAUAUUGGAUAUAAAUGUAUGUUCUUUAAGGGGGUGGGGGGGGAUAAAAGGCUGAACACGGGCUUUGCUGUGCAAUAUGUGCCAUCCUUUAAAUAAGGGGUAACUGCAGCAGCAAGUGUUGGAGGAUGGCUUGGGCUUCUGAGACACAAGGAGUAGAUUAACCCUGGCACAGUUUAUUCCUUGCUGCUGACCCUCAACCAGCACCACUGAGCACAACCUGGUGCUAUUUGCUGUUGUGUUCCUCUGGAAGAUGGACAGAAGGGAUGCCCUUUGGUGUCCUGUGUGGCAAAGAGGAGGAUAAGCUCAGUCAGCUCCUGAGAGAAGUCUCCAAACUGCUCCCUCUGGCUGCUCCAAGAAGCUGAACCUCUGGCUUCUGUUCCCUGGAAGCUGUGUCUGGUGAUCACAGGCCACUUGACUGCCCUGCUGGUAACUUCACUUUUAAGAUGAAUUAUGCAAGAAAUGCUGUGAAGCAUCAGAAAUGCUGAGGAUUGAGAAGAGUCCUCCCAGUGCAUGAACUCGUUUCUGAAUCAAGCCCGAGACUCACCUGGAUUCCACCUCCUCCAGAAAGGACAAAAAAAGGGGAAAAGGGAUCAAAAAUCAAUCAGAGGACUUUGGUUUUGCUGUGUUUGUAUCAUGUCUGAACCUGCAAAGAGUAUCCUUGGUUAUUCCCAAGGAAUCCAGUAAAUGGUGACUCUGUCAAUCA
Molecule: long non-coding RNA, 5486 nt
Organism: Lepidothrix coronata (blue-crowned manakin)
Lineage: Eukaryota; Metazoa; Chordata; Aves; Passeriformes; Pipridae
Exons: 2
Source: RefSeq, a predicted model, not a curated record